Molecule: ribosomal RNA, 407 nt
Filed under: uncultured bacterium
Lineage: Bacteria
Description: bacterial SSU rRNA
Rfam family: Bacterial small subunit ribosomal RNA
Source: RNAcentral
UGGGGAAUAUUGGGCAAUGGAGGAAACUCUGACCCAGCAACGCCGCGUGAGUGAAGAAGGUUUUCGGAUUGUAAAGCUCUGUGGGCAGGGAAGAAGACAGUGACAGUACCUGCAUAGCAAGCCACGGCCAACUACGUGCCAGCAGCCGCGGUAAUACGUAGGUGGCGAGCGUUGUCCGGAAUGACUGGGCGUAAAGGGUGCGUAGGCGGCCGAUCAAGUUAGUAGUGAAAUACCUGGGCUCAACUUGGGUGCUACUACUAAGACUGAUUGGCUUGAGUGAGGGAGAGGUAAGUGGAAUUCCUAGUGUAGCGGUGGAAUGCGUAGAUAUUAGGAGGAACACUGGCGGCGAAGGCGGCUUACUGGACCACAACUGACGCUGAGGCACGAAAGCGUGGGGAGCAAACAGG